RNAcentral lists this ribosomal RNA (895 nucleotides) under Phaeoacremonium austroafricanum. RNAcentral's name for it is "LSU rRNA". It matches the Rfam family "Eukaryotic large subunit ribosomal RNA", at positions 34 to 965 of the family's 3401-position model. The record is from RNAcentral. Lineage: Eukaryota; Fungi; Ascomycota; Sordariomycetes; Togniniales; Togniniaceae.
CUAGCAUAUCCAUAGCGGAGGAAAAGAAACCAACAGGGAUUGCCCCAGUAACGGCGAGUGAAGCGGCAACAGCUCAAAUUUGAAAUCUGGCCUCGGCCCGAGUUGUAAUUUGCAGAGGAUGUUUCUGGCGCGGUGCCUUCUGAGUUCCCUGGAACGGGACGCCAUAGAGGGUGAGAGCCCCGUACGGUUGGACGCCUAGCCUGUGUGAAACUCCUUCGACGAGUCGAGUAGUUUGGGAAUGCUGCUCAAAAUGGGAGGUAUAUCUCUUCUAAAGCUAAAUAUUGGCCAGAGACCGAUAGCGCACAAGUAGAGUGAUCGAAAGAUGAAAAGCACCUUGAAAAGGGGGUUAAACAGCACGUGAAAUUGUUGAAAGGGAAGCGCCCAUGACCAGACUUGUGCCCGGCGGAUCACCCAGCGUUCUCGCUGGGGCACUCCGCCGGGUCCAGGCCAGCAUCGGUUUUCGCCGGGGGAUAAAGGCUCUGGGAACGUAGCUCCUCCGGGAGUGUUAUAGCCCUCUGCGUAAUACCCUGGCGGGGACCGAGGUACGCGCUCCGCAAGGAUGCUGGCGUAAUGGUCAUCAGCGACCCGUCUUGAAACACGGAUCAAGGAGUCGUCCAUUAGAGCGAGCGUUUGGGUGUCAAACCCGCACGCGUAAUGAAAGUGAACGUAGGUGAGAGCUUCGGCGCAUCAUCGACCGAUCCUGAUGUCCUCGGAUGGAUUUGAGUAUGAGUUUUACUGGACGGACCCGAAAGAUGGUGAACUAUGCCUGAAUAGGGUGAAGCCAGAGGAAACUCUGGUGGAGGCUCGCAGCGGUUCUGACGUGCAAAUCGAUCGUCAAAUUUGGGCAUGGGGGCGAAAGACUAAUCGAACCAUCUAGUAGCUGGUUACCGCCGAA